CCCCUACUCAGUACUCACCACCACCUCUUGGCCACCGAACCACCACCACCCACUACUCAUCCGACGAGCCGUCUCGCCGUUGAGCCCGACGAGCUGUCGCACUGCCCCUCGCCGCCAUGAGCCACCGUCGUUGUCCCCAAACCCACCGUCACCACCUCUUGCCGCCGCUCGCUCGGCCGUCCGGGCGGCCAUUGCUCCGAACCGCCACCGCCUCAGCCAGAACCGAGCUCUUGCCCCCUUGGCCAUGGGUUGAGCCACGACCGCCGCCGUCUUCGCCGCGCCAUCCGUGCCACCGUUGGUGCCAUGAGACUCGUGUCUUCGUCGUCAUCGCACUACGAAAACUUUCCUUAGGUUGAGAGAGAUUCAAAGUCAUUGGUUGAACUCUUGAGACACGUAGCCUUGGUACUGAAAAUUUUAAAAUUAGGAUCAGCUAAGUCACAAUCUAAUUAUGUUUCCACAUGGUCCGAAAUGAUAUCUGCUUGUGCUCAAGAGCUCAAGCAUGGAGCCUCAAUAUGGAAGCAAGCUCUAGAGAAGAAUGUUUCCAGUCAAAUAUUAUCUGAAAAAGAAGGCAAGCAAUAUGUACUUGCCAUGGGAGAAGUUUACAGAGUAGUUGGAGUUCUUGGGGCCUCAGCCAUGUUAUACAAACCAUGGAUUCUUCUUAAUUAUAGAGAUUUCUCUGCCACAUCUGCUCUUUUAGACGAAUGUACUACUCUAUGGUCCAGUUCAGGCCUUGAAGAAGCUCUUCAAAACAUAUAUGAUCCCUAGAGUUCCAAUAUGAGGACAGCGUCAAGGCUUUAUUGGAGUCUAUCAAGCAUGUUUACACUCUCAAUACAGGUGUACUCUAGAAGGCUAUUUUUUCUUGUGAAGAACCUGUUUGCCGUUUGUCUAUGUUAAAUCCAAGAACUGUGCCAGGUAUGAAGAUAAUUUUUGGGACGAGGAGCAGUAUUUUCUCAAACUUGCUAAUCUAUGGGCAAAUUUGAUCAACCAUCAUCCUCCUGAAUUGCCAUCUAUCAAGAUUCAUGGAUUUGAAGGGGCAGGACUAAAUCUCUCUGUUGUGAGGUCGCUUGUGCUUCGUGAAAAGGAAGAUAACAUAUCCAAGUUUCUAGAUGAAGUGAAGCUCUAUUCUUUGGUUAGUUUGCUAUUUGAUGCAGAUAAAUCAAUAAUUAGAUUAUCAAAUUUACUAGUCCAUGAAAUAAUACUCAUCCAUUAUAAAAAAUUUAUCGGUUCUUUUUUAAAAUUAUCCUAUGAUGAUCUUUCACUUCUGUUGUAAUAUCUGCAAGAUAUUUGCGAGAGGAAAGUUUCUCAAAAGAAAGAUCAUUUCGGUUCGAAACCAC
This is a long non-coding RNA of Eucalyptus grandis, 1334 nucleotides long. RefSeq lists it as uncharacterized. The record is from RefSeq and is a predicted model, not a curated record. NCBI's taxonomy places the organism in Eukaryota, Viridiplantae, Streptophyta, Magnoliopsida, Myrtales, Myrtaceae. The transcript is spliced from 4 exons.